RNAcentral lists this ribosomal RNA (433 nucleotides) under uncultured bacterium. RNAcentral describes it as "partial 16S ribosomal RNA". It matches the Rfam family "Bacterial small subunit ribosomal RNA", at positions 29 to 507 of the family's 1533-position model. The record is from RNAcentral.
AACGAACGCUGGCGGCAUGCCUAACACAUGCAAGUCGAACGAGACCUUCGGGUCUAGUGGCGCACGGGUGCGUAACGCGUCGGAACCUGCCCUUAGGUUCGGAAUAACUCCCCGAAAGGGGUGCUAAUACCGGAUAAUGUCUUCGGACCAAAGAUUUAUCGCCUUUGGAUGGGCCCGCGUUGGAUUAGCUAGUUGGUAGGGUAAAAGCCUACUAAGGCGACGAUCCAUAGCUGGUCUGAGAGGAUGAUCAGCCACACUGGGACUGAGACACGGCCCAGACUCCUACGGGAGGCAGCAGUGGGGAAUAUUGGACAAUGGGCGAAAGCCUGAUCCAGCAAUGCCGCGUGAGUGAUGAAGGCCUUAGGGUUGUAAAGCUCUUUUACCCGGGAUGAUAAUGACAGUACCGGGAGAAUAAGCUCCGGCUAACUCCGUG